This 468-nucleotide ribosomal RNA is filed under the name Streptococcus mutans. RNAcentral's name for it is "bacterial SSU rRNA". It matches the Rfam family "Bacterial small subunit ribosomal RNA", at positions 28 to 472 of the family's 1533-position model. The record is from RNAcentral. Lineage: Bacteria; Bacillati; Bacillota; Bacilli; Lactobacillales; Streptococcaceae.
GACGAACGCUGGCGGCGUGCCUAAUACAUGCAAGUGGGACGCAAGGGAACACACUGUGCUUGCACACCGUGUUUUCUUGAGUCGCGAACGGGUGAGUAACGCGUAGGUAACCUGCCUAUUAGCGGGGGAUAACUAUUGGAAACGAUAGCUAAUACCGCAUAAUAUUAAUUAUUGCAUGAUAAUUGAUUGAAAGAUGCAAGCGCAUCACUAGUAGAUGGACCUGCGUUGUAUUAGCUAGUUGGUAAGGUAAGAGCUUACCAAGGCGACGAUACAUAGCCGACCUGAGAGGGUGAUCGGCCACACUGGGACUGAGACACGGCCCAGACUCCUACGGGAGGCAGCAGUAGGGAAUCUUCGGCAAUGGACGAAAGUCUGACCGAGCAACGCCGCGCUAGUGAAGAAGGUUUUCGGAUCGUAAAGCUCUGUUGUAAGUCAAGAACGUGUGUGAGAGUGGAAAGUUCACACAGG